AUGGACAUGAGGGUCCCGACUCAGCUCCUCAGCCUCCUGCUGCUGUGCCUCCCAGUUAAGGAAGGAAAACUGGGGGUUUACUCUGCCAGUGUGGUCAGAGCCAGAUGUGAUAUCCAGAUGACCCAGUCUCCAUCCUCUGUGUCUGCAUCACUGGGAGACAGCGUCACCAUCACUUGCCGGGCCAGUCAGGGCAUAAGCAGUUACUUAGCCUGGUAUCAGCAGAAACCAGGGACAGCUCCUAAGCUCCUGAUCCAUAAUGCAAACAGUUUGCAAACCGGUGUCCCUUCGAGGUUCAGUGGCCAAGGAUCUGGGACAGAUUUCACUCUCACCAUCAGCAGCCUGCAGCCUGAAGAUAUGGCAACUUAUUACUGUCUACAUCAUAAGAGUUGGGGUCCCACAGUGUUAUGA
Non-coding RNA from Rhinolophus ferrumequinum (greater horseshoe bat), 408 nucleotides. Lineage: Eukaryota; Metazoa; Chordata; Mammalia; Chiroptera; Rhinolophidae. The record is from the annotation of a RefSeq genome assembly.